UCCCUGAUGGUCCAGUGGUUAAGGCACUGCACUUCCAAUGCAGAGGGUGUGGGUUCAACCUCUGAUCAGGGAA
RNAcentral lists this transfer RNA (73 nucleotides) under Ovis aries (sheep). It matches the Rfam family "tRNA". Rfam says of the family: Transfer RNA (tRNA) molecules are approximately 80 nucleotides in length. Their secondary structure includes four short double-helical elements and three loops (D, anti-codon, and T loops). Further hydrogen bonds mediate the characteristic L-shaped molecular structure. tRNAs have two regions of fundamental functional importance: the anti-codon, which is responsible for specific mRNA codon recognition, and the 3' end, to which the tRNAs corresponding amino acid is attached (by aminoacyl-tRNA synthetases). tRNAs cope with the degeneracy of the genetic code in two manners: having more than one tRNA (with a specific anti-codon) for a particular amino acid; and 'wobble' base-pairing, i.e. permitting non-standard base-pairing at the 3rd anti-codon position. Lineage: Eukaryota; Metazoa; Chordata; Mammalia; Artiodactyla; Bovidae. The record is from Rfam by way of RNAcentral.